RNAcentral lists this long non-coding RNA (1870 nucleotides) under Homo sapiens (human). RNAcentral's name for it is "HSALNT0331600". The record is from RNAcentral. Lineage: Eukaryota; Metazoa; Chordata; Mammalia; Primates; Hominidae.
UAGUAACACCCAGGUUAGUCCUACUUAAUUCUUACCUGCAGCCAAAGUGGACUUAGCAUCUCCUUGCAUGCCUGGUAAAGUCAAGGGUUUUCAGCCAGGGCCUGUGUAUAAAGCAGAAGCAGCACAGAGUCUGGUUUGAAGCUUAGUGCUUGGGUUCAGACAGUUGUGGGUUACAAUCCCUUCUACACAUGUUCUCUGUGGAAACCAUUUGGUUCUCUGUGCUUGGAACUCGCCUGCAACGGGACAAAGCCAUCUCACCUAGACUGUUGUUAUGAAGAUUGAAUUAGGUGAUUCUGAGAGGCAUUUAUGCGUCCUCCCUGAGUAACAAUCCAUGAAAAGUGGGCGUCAUUGCUGAAGCUCAAGGAAGAAAUAUGAAAUUUGAUUAUAUCCUUAUUCACGGCAUUGGGUCACCAACUCAGCACUUUUUAUGAAAGUAGCAUCUGACCUGGCAAAGGCUGUGUCAUCUUAUUACCUCAGAAAGACAAAUUUACGGGGUCAGACGAUGGAUGGCUUGUAGAUUUCUCAAUGGGCUGGAAGGAAGGAGAGAAAAAGAGAGACAGGAGAGAGUACACAUUUAAUUCUGCUUCCCCUAGGGUGAUAUUUCCUUCCUCCCCUUCCAGGGUUCUCAAAAAGGCAUUCUAGGAAGUCCUGUAAAAUACAUGCUCAUAAAAAUCUCAUAAUUUCCACAAAUUGUUGAGAAUUUAAAACUCGGUUGGGAGUUUGCUGUUUCAGCCUGAGACACCGGGGUCACGUUUCAGUGCCUGCAGUCUUGAGACAGUACCAGGCAUCUGGGAUGAAGCUGAGGAAAGAAGAUGUGGGGGCCCUGCUGGCCUGCUCCUUCUCUCGAAAGACGCUUACCGGCUGCUGGUGUGUCACAGGGCUUUAGGAUUUGGAAAAACAGAGGGAUUUAAAAGAAGAUAGAAUGGUCAGAAUUUCGAGAACUGUGUGCUGAAGUGCCAUCUUUAGGGUGCUCAUAACACGGCCUUACAACAUUAGAGGUGCUGGAAUCAUGGAAGAGGCAUCUGGACUCUGUAAUGUCCUUCCCCCUGGAAAAUCUGCUCCAGAAGUGGGGGAUUGGGAGCUGUCAACAUAUGAGCCAUCUUUUGCUCCGUUCAAGAUGGUAGGGGCAUUCUCAACAUGCCCCUCACUCUGAUUCUGCCUCACUUUUAUUUUAGAAUUUUCCACUGCCUUUUCUGGAAUGUGCUUUUUCAACCCUCAAAAUCUGUAGAGAAGAAAUAAGCAGAAACCGAAAUGGCUUUCUGGUGUUCUCCAUGCUCUCAGCUUACUGGAAAAUCGAGCCGCAGGCUCGAGGCUGGACUUUAAGGCAGAGCACUGCAAUUAUAGUGCUAUGGCCUUGGCUUCCUUUCUCAUCACCCAGGUACAGUCCUGCAGUCCUCAGAGGAUGCCAGUCCCACACAGGGGGAUCCUUCUCCAUAGGAAAACCGAGGAACAAUGCAGGUUCGAGGUGCACAGUGGCUAAGCACACUCAGUCCUCAAGAUCUUUCCUCUCAAAUGCUAAUGCUACCUUCAGAUGGGCUGCUGCCUGCUACCAUUUCAACAUUGAGUCCUUUAAGAUGCCAUCAGAGAGAGGGGAAGCAAGAGGCCAAGAAAAAUGAAAGGAGUACAACAGGAAACCACGUUCCAUUAGAUAGCAAUCCUGGGAAAACCAUUGAAAGAAGAAACAUUCUGAGCAUGCUUUGUGAAUAGAAGAGUGGAUUUAAACAAAUUAACCAACAUUUAAAUUCCUCAUCUGUGGGUUAUUGCCAGAAUAAAUUCAGUGCUUGCCUUGGCCAGAGUUUGUUUGGUUUUAAGGGGCCAAACCCCACCACAGCGUAGUAAAAGGAAGCCUUACCAGAAAUACACAGGAAGC